Long non-coding RNA from Dreissena polymorpha, 1235 nucleotides. RefSeq lists it as uncharacterized. The transcript has 5 exons. The record is from RefSeq and is a predicted model, not a curated record. NCBI's taxonomy places the organism in Eukaryota, Metazoa, Mollusca, Bivalvia, Myida, Dreissenidae.
AAUAAUGCACUAUGUAAACAAGGGGCAUAACCACUCAGCAAAUUGUACUUACGGAUUUCGGAUGUGAUUGUGGAAUGUGUUUUAGUUUCAAACAUUUGUUAUGAUUUAUGAAAAUUUGGGGUCGCAAAAACUGGUGAACAGUGCCAGAAGAAGUACCAAAAUUCCAAGGCUCGGUCUUCUUCAUAUGCGUUACAAAGCAGUGAGAGUGCCACAACAGCCAGCAGAGAAGAACAUAUGAGUGUACCAGUCAUGAAAGUAGAGGCAUGAAGUGGAAAGAAUCGCUCACAAAGAAGACCGACAAGAGAUCACAAGGAGAUACCUUAACAAAACUUACAGAGAAACCGAUGGAAAAAGACUAAGAAAAAAUAGAAUAAAAAAAAAAAAAAGUUGACUGUAGAAAUUGAAAUAAUACAUUUGGAGAAAAAGAUGUGUUUAGUGUCAAUACGUGACCAAGUGCUAUAACUCUGACAUGUUAUAUACUAGUAGUAGAUUUAUUCCCCUUUUUGUAAUUAAAAGGAUCUUAUUAUUUUUUUGUGCAACUACUUCAAAACUCUAUUAUUUCUUAAAUAGAAAGUCUAUAUUAGAAAUAAUAGAGUUAUGGAGCAGUUGCACACAAAAUAAUAAGUUUUUUUUUUUAAUCAAAAAGGGGCAUUCUCAUAUUUCUAUGAUAAAAAUAUGAUUAUGUCCCUUUUUGUACUUAUAAAAUUCCAGUCAAUAUUUGUGUGCUUGAAGAAAUGUAGGUCAAAUAUUACAUUGGUCAUUGUAUUAUGUUACUGACAGAUAAAAUACAUUCUACAUUCAAAGAGGAAUAUUAGUUGAAUGCGGUGUCUUGGGACACUUCUUGGUAUUAUUUGCUUACAAGAUAUACAUCAUUAAUAAUAAUAAAAUUCUUCAUUCAAUGAACUGAAUGAAAUUCCAGAAUAAUGAUAGAUACAGUUAUGUGAAUUUGAAAUUAGACAUCAACAAAUCCUGGCAUCAUACUUUCGCCCUGGCCAACUGGCAGUGAACUUGAGUGAAGCUCGUUAUUCUGAAGCUGGCGUCAUACACAGCCUGUUAACAUAAAACAUGUUAUAUUACACUAACAAAAUAAGACAUAUUUUUGUACAUUUUUUCUUAGGUAUUUGAUAAAAUGCUGAUGAUAUGUUUCUUAUAUUGCUAAUGGCAAACUGUUAAAAUUAACAUACAGUUGUUUCAUUAAAUAUUUGUGUUUAAAAUAAAGUAUCAAAGAAAAGCGA